CAGUCGCCGCGGUAAUACGAAGGGGGCUAGCGUUGUUCGGAAUUACUGGGCGUAAAGCGCGUGUAGGCGGGUCUCUAAGUCAGAGGUGAAAUGCCAAGGCCCAACCUUGGAACUGCCUUUGAUACUGGAGAUCUUGAGUCCGGGAGAGGUGAGUGGAACUGCGAGUGUAGAGGUGAAAUUCGUAGAUAUUCGCAAGAACACCAGUGGCGAAGGCGGCUCACUGGCCCGGAACUGACGCUGAGACGCGAAAGCGUGGGGAGCGAACAGGAUUAGAUACCCCCGUAGUCCCUGUCUCUUAUAC
RNAcentral lists this ribosomal RNA (301 nucleotides) under uncultured bacterium. RNAcentral describes it as "partial 16S ribosomal RNA". It matches the Rfam family "Bacterial small subunit ribosomal RNA", at positions 509 to 807 of the family's 1533-position model. The record is from RNAcentral.